RNAcentral lists this ribosomal RNA (253 nucleotides) under uncultured bacterium. Its description in RNAcentral is "partial 16S ribosomal RNA". It matches the Rfam family "Bacterial small subunit ribosomal RNA", at positions 524 to 776 of the family's 1533-position model. The record is from RNAcentral.
UACGAAGGGGGCUAGCGUUGCUCGGAGUCACUGGGCGUAAAGCGCACGUAGGCGGCUUUCUAAGUCAGGGGUGAAAUCCUGGAGCUCAACUCCAGAACUGCCUUUGAUACUGGGAAGCUCGAGUCCGGAAGAGGUGAGUGGAACUCCGAGUGUAGAGGUGAAAUUCGUAGAUAUUCGGAAGAACACCAGUGGCGAAGGCGGCUCACUGGCCCGAUACUGACGCUGAGGUGCGAAAGCGUGGGGAGCAAACAGG